AUUGAACGCUGGCGGCAGGCCUAACACAUGCAAGUCGAGCGGAUGAAUGGAGCUUUCUCUUGGCUUCCGCGGCCGACGGGUGUGUAAUUCCUACGUAUCUGCCUUGUCGUUGGGGAUAACGUCCGUUCACGGGCGCUAAUACCGCAUACGUCCUGAUGUUGAACCUGGGGGUUCUUCGGACCUCACGCUAUUUGCUGUGCCUUGGUCGGAUUUGCUAGUUGGUUGGGUAAAGGCCUACCAAGGCGACGAUCCGUAGCUGGUCUGAGAGGAUGAUCUGCCACACUGGAACUGAGACACGGUCCAGACUCCUACGGGAGGCAGCAGUGGGGAAUAUUGGACAAUGGGCGAAAGCCUGAUGGAGCAAUGCCGCGUGAGUGAAGAAGGUCUUCGGAUUGUAAAGCACUGUUAGUAGGGAAGAAGAGAAGUAAGAUAAAAUAUGGAUGUUUUGACGGUACCAAAAGAAAAAGCACCGGCUAACUUCGUG
RNAcentral lists this ribosomal RNA (484 nucleotides) under uncultured bacterium. RNAcentral describes it as "partial 16S ribosomal RNA". It matches the Rfam family "Bacterial small subunit ribosomal RNA", at positions 30 to 507 of the family's 1533-position model. The record is from RNAcentral.